CUGGGCUUGACAUGUGCCUGACCGCCGUGGAAACACGGCUUCCCUUCGGGGCAGGUUCACAGGUGGUGCAUGGCUGUCGUCAGCUCGUGUCGUGAGAUGUUGGGUUAAGUCCCGCAACGAGCGCAACCCCCGUCGCAUGUUGCCAGCAUUCAGUUGGGGACUCAUGCGAGACUGCCGGUGACAAACCGGAGGAAGGUGGGGAUGACGUCAAGUCCUUAUGCCCCUUAUGUCCAGGGCUACACACGUGCUACAUUGGCCGGUACAGAGGGCAGCGAUACCGCGAGGUGGAGCGAAUCCCUCAAAGCCGGUCUCAGUUCGGAUUGCAGGCUGAAACUCGCCUGCAUGAAGGCGAAGUUGCUAGUAAUCGCGGAUCAGCAAUGCCGCGGUGAAUACGUUCCC
This 399-nucleotide ribosomal RNA is filed under the name uncultured soil bacterium. Its description in RNAcentral is "bacterial SSU rRNA". It matches the Rfam family "Bacterial small subunit ribosomal RNA", at positions 975 to 1375 of the family's 1533-position model. The record is from RNAcentral.